GAUGAACGCUGGCGGCGUGCCUAAUACAUGCAAGUCGAGCGAACCACUUCGGUGGUGAGCGGCGAACGGGUGAGUAACACGUAGGUGAUCUGCCCAUCAGACGGGGACAACGAUUGGAAACGAUCGCUAAUACCGGAUAGGACGAAAGUUUAAAGGUGCUUCUGGCACCGCUGAUGGAUGAGCUCUCGGCGCAUUAGCUAGUAGGUAGGGUAAAGGCCUACCAAGGCGACGAUGCGUAGCCGCCCUGAGAGGGUGAACGGCCACACUGGGACUGAGACACGGCCCAGACUCCUACGGGAGGCAGCAGUAGGGAAUCUUCGGCAAUGGGCGAAAGCCUGACCGAGCAACGCCGCGUGAAUGAUGAAGGCCUUCGGGUUGUAAAAUUCUGUUAUAAGGGAAGAACGACUUUAGUAGGAAAUGGCUAGAGUGUGACGGUACCUUAUGAGAAAGCCACGGCUAACUACGUGCCAGCCGCCGCGGUAA
RNAcentral lists this ribosomal RNA (483 nucleotides) under uncultured bacterium. Its description in RNAcentral is "partial 16S ribosomal RNA". It matches the Rfam family "Bacterial small subunit ribosomal RNA", at positions 28 to 523 of the family's 1533-position model. The record is from RNAcentral.